UCCCUGGUGGUUCAGUGGCUAAGACUCUGCCGUCCCAUGCAGGGGUCAUGGGUUCAAUCCCUGUUCAGGGAA
Non-coding RNA from Bos taurus (domestic cattle), 72 nucleotides. NCBI's taxonomy places the organism in Eukaryota, Metazoa, Chordata, Mammalia, Artiodactyla, Bovidae. The record is from Rfam.